UGCAGAACCUGACCUAUGGCCUCCUCCUAAAGCAGGGAGGUACUGCAGCAUCCCCCUUCUGUAGUGGUAGAUGCUGGCCUGAGCUCCCCUUGCCCAUGCAGUAGAGAGGGAUGCUGGCAGGGAGGAGGAAUGGGAGGCACAGGCGUGCUGCAGCUGCAGAGGGUGAUGCUUACAGCCAGGGUGCUGCAUGGUGCCCAGGAGUGAGGGCAGGCUCAUUCUCUUCUGCCUGUCCCCGCUGCAGACUGGCUGCCACCUGGGGAUAAUCCCCCAUGGCUGGAUCUGGGCAGGAUUUGGAGUAUUCACCAAACCAUGCUGUGUCGAGUCUCCAAAAACUACUUGGCAAGACUUUUCAGGGGUAAAGGAAGUUUUCUCUGUGGAAGUGAAGUUCCGUCAACAAUCAGAAGAGCCUAUGGAUAGGAAAUAUUACCUUUACAUUCAACCAGACUGCCUCAGUUGUCUUGAGUUGACUACAGAUUUCAGUAUGUUCAAAGCAUAGCAUUUUUACCUCUGUUAUAAAUUA
Molecule: long non-coding RNA, 520 nt
Organism: Cygnus olor (mute swan)
Lineage: Eukaryota; Metazoa; Chordata; Aves; Anseriformes; Anatidae
Exons: 2
Source: RefSeq, a predicted model, not a curated record